This 451-nucleotide ribosomal RNA is filed under the name uncultured bacterium. RNAcentral describes it as "partial 16S ribosomal RNA". It matches the Rfam family "Bacterial small subunit ribosomal RNA", at positions 29 to 523 of the family's 1533-position model. The record is from RNAcentral.
AACGAACGCUGGCGGCAUGCCUAACACAUGCAAGUCGAACGAUUGCCUUCGGGUGAUAGUGGCGCACGGGUGCGUAACGCGUGGGAAUCUGCCCUUGGGUUCGGAAUAACAGCUGGAAACGGCUGCUAAUACCGGAUGAUAUCGCGAGAUCAAAGAUUUAUCGCCUGAGGAUGAGCCCGCGUUGGAUUAGGUAGUUGGUGGGGUAAAGGCCUACCAAGCCGACGAUCCAUAGCUGGUCUGAGAGGAUGAUCAGCCACACUGGGACUGAGACACGGCCCAGACUCCUACGGGAGGCAGCAGUGGGGAAUAUUGGACAAUGGGCGCAAGCCUGAUCCAGCAAUGCCGCGUGAGUGAUGAAGGCCCUAGGGUUGUAAAGCUCUUUUACCCGGGAAGAUAAUGACUGUACCGGGAGAAUAAGCCCCGGCUGACUCCGUGCCAGCAGCCGCGGUAA